This 1087-nucleotide long non-coding RNA is filed under the name Homo sapiens (human). Its description in RNAcentral is "long intergenic non-protein coding RNA 1905". The record is from RNAcentral. Lineage: Eukaryota; Metazoa; Chordata; Mammalia; Primates; Hominidae.
AUGAUGAUAUCAAUCAAGUGAAGCAGCUAUCACAGGGUCUGGAACAUAGUACAUCCCAGCCUUCUUGCACAUAGAAACACUACACAGCACUUCAGCUGUAUGUUUGGGGGCCAUUUUAAACAGCAAAAUCAUCAACAGGAAGCAGAAAAUUGUAAAAAUUGUGGCACUAAAUAGACCAUGUAAAGGACACAUGUUUGCAAUAAGAAAGCUGAAACAAGAAGGGGGAGUGUCACCUUAUUUGAUCCAGCUAGAAACUCAGGUGCUGGUAUUCCAGCAACACUCAGGCGGCUGCUCCAGGAGGCUGCAGAGGGGUCCUUUUUAGCCGUCAACAAAACUGGCUAUGGUCACGCCCAUUGGGAAACUCAUUGCUGCCUUCAAGGACUCAGAAGCUGUAGGAAUAUUCAGGCACAGACACCAGACCCAGCUUCAUCUCUAACUUGUGGCAAAGGACAGUACAUCCUGGGAUGGGACCCUAUGCUCCCCUAUGCCAUUUAGACAGAGCCUGGGGAGAGUGACUUCCCAGGGUAUCCAUGUUGGAAUCUCUCAUUUGAUUCUUAUUCAAAUUUAGGUUCUGUCAAUAGAAGAUACUAAAGAAAGAAAGCCAGGAGAAGAAAAGGGACUUCUUUCUUCAAGGUCUAAGCUGUUCUAAUAGCAUUAUUCUGGGAAUGGCAUCUUCCACUCCUCCUAGUACAAAGAACCUGCUUCCUCAUACCCCGUCAAGGAACUGCAGCAUCCAGAAUACAUUCAUACCUAACACCUCAAUAGAUGACAUGUUAUCCAUGGAAUCGAGUUCAAAGCCCUCUGUAACGUGGCUAUAUCCCAUCUACUCUGAGCUGAUGUUCAGCAGGUGAUGGCCACAGUGGCAGAACCUAGGAAGCCAAGAAGAAACCAGAGAAUGGAGACACAUGGCAGCAAUGGCAAGUCAUCAGACCCAGGAUUUCCCAAAGAACACUGGUCCAGGAAGAUGCUCUGUGAAAAAGUGUUCCCUGGUCGGAGAAAUUUGUGAAACACUUUGCAUAAUACUUAAAAGAAUGUAUGGCACAUCAAAGGUAAUAUGCAAUAAAAGAAUUCAUUUUUUUAAAACCAA